Ornithorhynchus anatinus (platypus) is the source of this 93-nucleotide non-coding RNA. RefSeq annotates it as microRNA mir-1421a. The transcript has a single exon. Lineage: Eukaryota; Metazoa; Chordata; Mammalia; Monotremata; Ornithorhynchidae. The record is from RefSeq and is marked provisional.
GAUCUGCGGCACGGUGUUAGCAGGUUACAUGCGGUGCAGUAUGGUAGUGGAAAAUGCUGCAUCCCUUGUGACCUCCGUACAGAGUGCCAUGUC